UACGGAGGAUGCAAGCAUUAUCCGGAUUUAUUGGGCGUAAAGCGUCCGCAGGUGGUUGUUCAAGUCUGCUGUUAAAGCGCGAGGCUUAACCUUGUACAGGCAGUGGAAACUGAGCGACUAGAGUAUGGUAGGGGGAGCGGGAAUUCCCAGUGUAGCGGUGAAAUGCGUAGAUAUUGGGAAGAACACCAGCGGCGAAAGCGCGCUACUGGGCCAUUACUGACACUCAUGGACGAAAGCUAGGGGAGCGAAAGGG
This 253-nucleotide ribosomal RNA is filed under the name uncultured bacterium. RNAcentral's name for it is "partial 16S ribosomal RNA". It matches the Rfam family "Bacterial small subunit ribosomal RNA", at positions 524 to 776 of the family's 1533-position model. The record is from RNAcentral.